AGCGAACGCUGGCGGCAGGCCUAACACAUGCAAGUCGAACGAAUCUUUCGGGGUUAGUGGCGGACGGGUGAGUAACACGUGGGAACGUGCCUUUAGGUUCGGAAUAACUCAGGGAAACUUGUGCUAAUACCGAAUGUGCCCUUCGGGGGAAAGAUUAAUCGCCUUUAGAGCGGCCCGCGUCUGAUUAGCUAGUUGGUUGAGGUAAUGGCUCACCAAGGCGACGAUCAGUAGCUGGUCUGAGAGGAUGAUCAGCCACAUUGGGACUGAGACACGGCCCAAACUCCUACGGGAGGCAGCAGUGGGGAAUCUUGCGCAAUGGGCGAAAGCCUGACGCAGCCAUGCCGCGUGAAUGAUGAAGGUCUUAGGAUUGUAAAAUUCUUUCACCGGGGACGAUAAUGACGGUACCCGGAGAAGAAGCCCCGGCUAACUUCGUG
RNAcentral lists this ribosomal RNA (434 nucleotides) under uncultured bacterium. RNAcentral's name for it is "partial 16S ribosomal RNA". It matches the Rfam family "Bacterial small subunit ribosomal RNA", at positions 29 to 507 of the family's 1533-position model. The record is from RNAcentral.